GAUGAACGCUGGCGGCGUGCUUAACACAUGCAAGUCGAGCGAACAGACGAGGCGCUUGCUCCUCUGACGUUAGCCGCGGACGGGUGAGUAACACGUGGAUCACCUCCCUAUAAGUCUGGGAUAACUUCGGGAAACCGGAGCUAAUACCGUAUAACAUGUUGAACCGCAUGGUUCAACAGUGAAAGACGGUCUUGCUGUCUCUUAUAGAUGGAUCCGGGCCGCAUUAGCUAGUUGGGAAGGAAACGGCUUACCACGGCAACGAUGCGUAGCCGACCGAAGAGGGGGAAGGGCCACAGUGGAGCUGAGACGCGGUCCAGGCACCGAGGGAAGGCAGAGGGAGGGAAGGGUCGGCAAAGGGGGAAAGCCUGACGAAGCAACGCAGGGUGAGUGAAGAAGGUCUGCGGGUCGUAAAACUCUGUUAUGAGGGAAAAACAAAUGUGUAUGUAACUAUGCGCGACUGGAGGGAACGGAAUCAGAAAGCCACGGCAAACUACGG
RNAcentral lists this ribosomal RNA (496 nucleotides) under uncultured bacterium. Its description in RNAcentral is "partial 16S ribosomal RNA". It matches the Rfam family "Bacterial small subunit ribosomal RNA", at positions 28 to 506 of the family's 1533-position model. The record is from RNAcentral.